RNAcentral lists this unclassified non-coding RNA (240 nucleotides) under soil metagenome. RNAcentral describes it as "partial contains 5.8S ribosomal RNA, internal transcribed spacer 2, and large subunit ribosomal RNA". The record is from RNAcentral.
AACAUCGCGCACCUGCGGGAACCUGCGGAGGGAUCAUUACAGAGUUGCAAAACUCCCUAAACCAUUGUGAACGUUACCUAAACCGUUGCUUCGGCGGGCGGCCCGGGUCCUUCCCGGCGCCCCUCGGCCCCCGCGGGCGCCCGCCGGAGGUAAACCAAACUAUUGCAUUGUAUGGCCUCUCUGAGUCUUCUGUACUGAAUAAGUCAAAACUUUUAACAACGGAUCUCAGAUCGGAAGAGC